AUUGAACGCUGGCGGAAUGCUUUACACAUGCAAGUCGAACGGCAGCACGGGGGCAACCCUGGUGGCGAGUGGCGAACGGGUGAGUAAUACAUCGGAACGUGCCCAAUCGUGGGGGAUAACGUAGCGAAAGCUACGCUAAUACCGCAUACGAUCUACGGAUGAAAGCGGGGGAUCGCAAGACCUCGCGCGAAUGGAGCGGCCGAUGGCAGAUUAGGUAGUUGGUGGGGUAAAGGCUCACCAAGCCAACGAUCUGUAGCUGGUCUGAGAGGACGACCAGCCACACUGGGACUGAGACACGGCCCAGACUCCUACGGGAGGCAGCAGUGGGGAAUUUUGGACAAUGGGCGAAAGCCUGGCGCAGCCAUACCGCGUGUGUGAAGAAGGCCUCGGUUGUAAG
This 397-nucleotide ribosomal RNA is filed under the name uncultured bacterium. RNAcentral describes it as "bacterial SSU rRNA". It matches the Rfam family "Bacterial small subunit ribosomal RNA", at positions 29 to 429 of the family's 1533-position model. The record is from RNAcentral.